This is a long non-coding RNA of Hordeum vulgare subsp. vulgare (domesticated barley), 537 nucleotides long. RefSeq lists it as uncharacterized. The transcript is spliced from 2 exons. The record is from RefSeq and is a predicted model, not a curated record. NCBI's taxonomy places the organism in Eukaryota, Viridiplantae, Streptophyta, Magnoliopsida, Poales, Poaceae.
GCAGCUCUGUUUGGCAUAAAACAGUAUCACAUAUAUCUAUUUACGGCGACAUGCACCCGCGGCGGUUCAAACGAGGCCAUCAAGGCAGAAAUCUAUGAUCCCUGGAGGGGCGAUGCACAGAGUAGGGCAAUCCAUCGGCGACCGACCAUCGUGGUAUUGAGUAUGAUGCUCCGUUCCAUUCUACGCCCAGGUAUUCGGAUUCCAUCUUUUUAUUUGCUUUCAUGCACAAAGACCACUUGAUCUUGAUAAGCUUCAGAAGAUUGCUGUAAAAACUGUACGAGUAUGUGAACGUGAGAAAUCAAGCUCUCCCAUAUGAACAUUCCUUGUACCAUUGGAUAUGACCCAGCAAGCAAUAUGAUUACCAUGCGAAUGAAGCGAAAGACAACAUUCUUGACGUUUGUGUUCAUCAAUAUCUCAACGCAUAAGUAUGUCUUAGUUUGUAACAGAUAAUUAUCAUUGAUCUCUUUAUAUACAUUGUUGAUUACAUUGCAAAUGGACUGAAAUUCAAUUUUUAUAUACAUGUCUAAUUUUGGCAUC